UACGUAGGGUGCGAGCGUUGUCCGGAAUUACUGGGCGUAAAGAGCUCGUAGGUGGUUUGUCGCGUUGUUCGUGAAAUCUCACGGCUUAACUGUGAGCGUGCGGGCGAUACGGGCAGACUUGAGUACUGCAGGGGAGACUGGAAUUCCUGGUGUAGCGGUGGAAUGCGCAGAUAUCAGGAGGAACACCAGUGGCGAAGGCGGCUCACUGGACCGGAACUGACGCUGAGGCGCGAAAGCGUGGGGAGCAAACAGG
This 253-nucleotide ribosomal RNA is filed under the name uncultured bacterium. RNAcentral's name for it is "partial 16S ribosomal RNA". It matches the Rfam family "Bacterial small subunit ribosomal RNA", at positions 524 to 776 of the family's 1533-position model. The record is from RNAcentral.